Molecule: ribosomal RNA, 253 nt
Filed under: uncultured bacterium
Lineage: Bacteria
Description: partial 16S ribosomal RNA
Rfam family: Bacterial small subunit ribosomal RNA
Source: RNAcentral
UACGUAGGGUGCAAGCGUUGUCCGGAAUUAUUGGGCGUAAAGAGCUCGUAGGCGGUUUGUCGCGUCGGGAGUGAAAUCCACUGGCUUAACUGGUGGCUUGCUUUCGAUACGGGCAGACUGGAGGUAUGCAGGGGAGAACGGAAUUCCUGGUGUAGCGGUGAAAUGCGCAGAUAUCAGGAGGAACACCGAUGGCGAAGGCAGGUCUCUGGGCCGAUACUGACGCUGAGGAGCGAAAGCGUGGGGAGCGAACAGG